GCAGGUACAGAGGGAUGCUACCGGGCGACCGGAUGCGGAUCUCGAAAGCCUGUCCCAGUUCGGACUGGAGUCUGCAACCCGACUCCACGAAGUUGGAUUCGCUAGUAAUCGCGCAUCAGCCAUGGCGCGGUGAAUACGUUCCCGAGCCUUGUACACACCGCCCGUCAAGCCAUGGGAGCCGGGGGCGCCUGAAGUCCGGGACCGCGAGGACCGGCCUAGGGCGAAACUGGUAACUGGGGCUAAGUCGUAACAAGGUAUC
RNAcentral lists this ribosomal RNA (259 nucleotides) under uncultured bacterium. RNAcentral describes it as "partial 16S ribosomal RNA". It matches the Rfam family "Bacterial small subunit ribosomal RNA", at positions 1233 to 1500 of the family's 1533-position model. The record is from RNAcentral.